This 237-nucleotide ribosomal RNA is filed under the name uncultured bacterium. Its description in RNAcentral is "partial 16S ribosomal RNA". It matches the Rfam family "Bacterial small subunit ribosomal RNA", at positions 99 to 334 of the family's 1533-position model. The record is from RNAcentral.
CGAACGGGUGAGUAACGCGUGAGGAACCUGCCUCAAAGAGGGGGACAACAGUUGGAAACGACUGCUAAUACCGCAUAAGCCCACAGCUCGGCAUCGAGCAGAGGGAAAAGGAGCAAUCCGCUUUGAGAUGGCCUCGCGUCCGAUUAGCUAGUUGGUGAGGUAACGGCCCACCAAGGCGACGAUCGGUAGCCGGACUGAGAGGUUGAACGGCCACAUUGGAACUGAGACACGGCCCAA